AGAAUCAACGCUGGCGGCGUGCCUAACACAUGCAAGUCGCACGAGAAAGGGGCUUCGGCUCUGAGUAAAGUGGCGCACGGGUGAGUAACACGUGAAUUAUCUACCUCCGAGUGGGGAAUAACUGAGAGAAAUCUUAGCUAAUACCGCAUAACACUUACGAGUCAAAGCAGCAAUGCGCUUGGAGAGGAGUUCGCGGCCGAUUAGUUAGUUGGCGGGGUAAUGGCCCACCAAGACGAUGAUCGGUA
RNAcentral lists this ribosomal RNA (245 nucleotides) under uncultured bacterium. RNAcentral describes it as "partial small subunit ribosomal RNA". It matches the Rfam family "Bacterial small subunit ribosomal RNA", at positions 26 to 285 of the family's 1533-position model. The record is from RNAcentral.